Molecule: long non-coding RNA, 1532 nt
Organism: Corythoichthys intestinalis (scribbled pipefish)
Lineage: Eukaryota; Metazoa; Chordata; Actinopteri; Syngnathiformes; Syngnathidae
Exons: 3
Source: RefSeq, a predicted model, not a curated record
CAUGCUAAAUAAAUAUACAGUGUACAGUGCAUGAACAACAAAAUGUGAAUAUACUGUCCUACGCUACGGCUCGGUCCUGGCUAUACAGCGAACUCCCAAAAGACAAUGCUGGACGUCCGUAUAAUUUGCUGAAUCAAUUUGGUCCUCGCUAGAAAACAGGUUCGCAUCAACGUAAAUAAAAACAGGUUAGCAUGCGUUCGCUAUCAUUAGCACAUCAUUCAAACAACCACACAACUGGCUCUAAGUGUCCGAUCGCGGGUGGAAAACACACAACAACAACAGAAAAGAUGAUACACGCAGGCGUUGCCUCUGUAGAGAUGAUUUAAAAGCAUAAACAAUGAAAGUAGGUUCGCAGCUGUCUAUUCUCUCUCGCUGUAACUCGCCCACUCACUCACUCAGAACUACGUAGCUGUCCGUCUUCUUCUGGCGUGUGAGCACUCUUCUCCACAUAAACAAGUGCGAGUGCGCCCUCACGUGGGCGUGAAAGCGCCACAAACUAAAUGCAUCCAUUUCAAGAUAAAAAAGUCAAUAAUACAAUUGAACAUACACUGCCAAAGUCAGAACGCGAACGUGGCCAUAGCUAUAAAGAGUUAUUCAGAUAACUAUAGCAUAAGAACAUGCUAACAACUUUACAAAACCAUCAGUGUCACUGCAAAACACCAAAAUAACAUGUGAAAUUAUAUCAUAAUGUGUUAAUAAUUCCACACAUAAGUCGCUCCUGAGUAUAAGUCGCACCCCCAGCCAAAAUAUGAAAAAAAAAACGCGACUUAUAGUCCGAAAAAUACGGUAUAUACUUCUGUAAUUCUUUCAGCUGCUGGAAAAACCCUGCUGUUUGAGGGUGAAAAAGAUCACCUGGUUCCUUCAGCAUCUCAAAUCUAUAUUGAUAGUGACCUUUUUAUGGUUGCUGGGCAAAUAAUUGGCCAUUCAUUCCUACACAACGGUCCUUGUUUAAAUGGACUAAGUAAAGCUGUUGUACAUGUGUUGGGUGGUGGAAUGCCUGAAAUGGCCUCUAUUGAUAUCACAGACUGCUGUGAUGUCGAUGUCAGGGAGGCAUUUGAACUGGUAAAGACAUUUUAACAAAGAAAUUAUAUAUUGCUUUGCAGUCACUGUUUUCUGAGGUAUUUACUUUAUUGUCAACAGUUGAAAGGGUCUACUGAGCUGACAGCAGAUCAGAAGCGGUCCAUACAGAGCGUGACAACAGGAUGGGAUCUUCCUGUUGCCACUGAAGAAAACAGGAGAUGGCUGACUGAGAAAAUUCUUUUUCAUGCUGUACUUUCCAGGUCAAAAACUCAAAUAAAACAGCUACGAAAAGGACUCAAAGCAACAGGUGUUUUGGAUCUGGUAACACAAAGACCAGACACAAUGCAGUUGUUGUUUCCAAGAAGCUGUGCUGAGUUGCACUCACCACAACUAGCUACAUCUGGAACGCAUAAUUUGGCCAGCGGAGUCAGACAGUGAUGACGACACUGAUGACCCGAGUUUGGAUGAAAAGUGCCGCAUCACUGGAUAUCUGAGAAAAUACAUCGAAAAUG